UGGGGGGAUAUUGCACAAUGGGGGGAAACCCUGAUGCAGCGACGCCGCGUGAGUGAAGAAGUAUUUCGGUAUGUAAAGCUCUAUCAGCAGGAAAGAUAAUGACGGUACCUGUAAAGUAAGCCACGGCUAACUACGUGCCAGCAGCCGCGGUAAUACGUAGGUGGCAAGCGUUAUCCGGAUUUAUUGGGUGUAAAGGGUGAGUAGGCGGGCUGACAAGUCAGAUGUGAAAUGUUCGGGCUUAACCUGAGAACUGCAUUUGAAACUGCCAGUCUUGAGUGUCGGAGGGGUAAUCGGAAUUCCCGGUGUAGCGGUGAAAUGCGUAGAGAUCGGGAGGAACACCAGUGGCGAAGGCGGAUUACUGGACGACAACUGACGCUGAUACACGAAAGCGUGGGGAGCAAACAGGAUUAGAUACCCUGGUAGU
Molecule: ribosomal RNA, 424 nt
Filed under: uncultured Anaerosporobacter sp.
Lineage: Bacteria; Bacillati; Bacillota; Clostridia; Lachnospirales; Lachnospiraceae
Description: bacterial SSU rRNA
Rfam family: Bacterial small subunit ribosomal RNA
Source: RNAcentral